RNA transcript from Solanum dulcamara, 2118 nucleotides. It is a transcript of the gene named cytochrome P450 734A1, with no coding region annotated. Lineage: Eukaryota; Viridiplantae; Streptophyta; Magnoliopsida; Solanales; Solanaceae. The record is from RefSeq and is a predicted model, not a curated record. The transcript is spliced from 2 exons.
UAUAAUUUUGUUUCCUAAAGAGGUCAUUUGAAAGUUCUUUAUUUUGAGCAACUUAAUCUUAGAGAAAACAGAGCAGCCAUGCUCUCUCAUUCAUGGAGAAAACCUCUAUGUUACAGAGGUAUUUUCUUCCCUUUAAUCCAAUUGUUUGCUUUAUCGAAUGGCCAUGUAGCUAUAUUUCAUUCUUGCGCUGCUAUUCCCUCGAAAUAUCCUUCGUUUAGAAAAAAACCAUCGGUUUCUAGAAAGCGUAAAGUUGUUUUCUUUAGGGAAUUUAGAGACGUGAAUAGUUUAAGCGAUGCUGUUUGUGUUUUUCAUCAAAUGGUCCGAAAAAAACCAGUUCCUUCUGUUGUAGAGUUCGCAAAAUUGUUAAGGGUGAUGAUUAAUAUGAAAGAAUAUUCUGUUGUUGUUUCUUCUUUUGGAGAGAUGAGGAAGCUAGGGAUUCCCUUUGAUGAUUAUAUCUUGACUAUUGUGAUUAAUUCUUUUUGCUUGCUGGGUUGGGCUGAAAAUGGGUUUUCGGUUUUGUGUAUUUUUUUAAAGAGUGGUGUUCAGUUUAAUGUGGUUACUUUCAGUACUCUUAUAAGGGGACUUUGUGAACAAAAUAAGAUUCAGGAUGCUAUGUGGUUGUUUCGGAAGCUGGUGAAAGAGAAAAUUUGUAAGAUGGAUGAAGUUAUGUUUGGUACUGUCAUGAAUGGGCUUUGUAAACAAGGGCAUACUCAAACAGCUCUUAGUUUGUUGAGGACAAUGGAGCUAGGGGAUCCCAAACCUAACACAAUUGUGUAUAGUAUUGUUGUAGAUGCACUUUGCAAAGACCAAAUGGUAGGUGCUGCUUUCAAUCUUUUCAAUGAAAUGAAGCGAAAAGGGAUUACUCCGAAUGUACUUACGUAUAGUUCACUGGUUGAUGGUUUGUGUAAGUUUGAUCAGUGGGAAAAAGUUAGGCUGCUUUUGGAUGAGAUGAUGUAUCUUAAUAUUUUCCCGAACGUGCACACAUUUAGCAUGUUGGUCGAUGCAUUUUGCAAAAAAGGGAUGGUUGAAGAUGCUGUGGAAGUGUUAAAGAUAAUGAUCCAAAAAGGUGAAUAUCCAGAUGUGGUUACCUAUAACGCUAUAAUGGAAGGGUAUUGUUUGCGUGGUGAAACAGAUGUAGCAAGGAGAGUUUUAGACUCUAUGAUUGAUACUGGUGUCAAGACUGACAUCUUUAGUUACAAUAUAUUAGUCAAUGGAUAUUGCAAGCAAAAGAAAUUAGAUGAGGCCAUGCAUUUAUAUUGUGAAAUCUCGCAAAAGGGGUUGAAACCUGACAUUGUUACAUAUUCUACUAUCUUGCAAGGCCUAUUUGAAGUUGGUAGAGUUGAGUGUUCAGAAAAUUUCUUUACUGAGAUGCAAAAUGCAGGCCAUAGUCCUGACAUUUACACUUGUGGCAUCAUGCUUCAUGGUUAUUUUAAAAAUGGACAUGUAGAAAAAGCAAUGUCCCUUUUUCAUAGGUGGGAAAAACAAAAAGAAGAUACUUAUAUUUUGAUCUACAAUAUAGGCAAUGAUGGAUUUUUUAAAAUUCAAAAGCUUGAUAAAGCACGUUCUAUUUUUGAUAAGCUUUAUUCCGUAGGGUUGCAUCCUGAUGUUAUAAGAUACAAUGUAACAGUAAAUGGACUUCGUAUUGAAGGUUUAGUAGAUGAGGCCAAAGAGUUGCUAAGAAAAAUGGAGGACAAUGGGUAUUUGCCGGACAAUGCCACUUCCAAUCUUAUUGCGCAUGGAAUUCUCAAGAGUAAUAAAACUAAUGAAGCAAUGUCUCUUUUGAAGGAAAUAGUUGGGAGAGGUUUCCCAGCUGAUAAAGCCACAAUGUCAUUGCUAAUAGAACUACUUUUGUUAAUAGGGGAAGGUCCUUUUUUGCUUAAUAUGAUACCAGAAUUUCAUCUAAGAAAUGAGAAAUGAAGCUCUUUUUCCUCUCACUAUUGAACUACUUGAGAGCUCGACUACAAUUGGGAAAACCAAAUGAUGAUAGCUCUCAAAGUUUUCUUAGCUUCCAAUUUAUGGUUUAUGGAGGCUUGGGUACCGGAUAUUGUGACUAGUGUUAUUAAGGCAUUGAAGAAAUGGCAAAAAGAAAAUGAAGAGAAGGAUGAAUUUGAAAUAGAU